UGCUGUGGGCUGGAGUGGGGGUGUUAGGAGGUUUAUAGCUCAACACAAACUGAGUGGGAUUUUGCAGAACAAAGAAAAGGUUUAAGGAAAGAGUGAUGAAGGUGAAUUGUGUAACUCAGCUGGCAUCCUGGAUGACCCGUAUGCGUCGCUCUGCAACAAAAGCCUAAGUGAUGCUUUCCCCAGCCAGAUGGCAACGAGGGUGUGUGAGCUGCGGCUCCUGAACUCGGGCUGAACCUCGCGGCGCAGAAUGAUGCUAUUAUAGUCCCUGCGUAGGCUGCCGGCACAGCUGCCUCCUAGCCCGGGAGGCCUGGCCGCGUGGAAAGCAGCGGCCGGCUGGGAGGAGAUUGCGCAUUAUUUCUGCCGAUACUGGGGAAGAUCAUUUGCUUGACCACAGCACUUCUCAGUCUGAAAAGUCGGCUGAUGUGGUCACUUAACCAGCACAGACUUCUCCGUGUGAUUUCUCUUUUUACAGAAUUUUUUACCUCUUAUA
Molecule: long non-coding RNA, 490 nt
Organism: Oxyura jamaicensis (ruddy duck)
Lineage: Eukaryota; Metazoa; Chordata; Aves; Anseriformes; Anatidae
Exons: 3
Source: RefSeq, a predicted model, not a curated record